This 254-nucleotide ribosomal RNA is filed under the name uncultured bacterium. Its description in RNAcentral is "partial 16S ribosomal RNA". It matches the Rfam family "Bacterial small subunit ribosomal RNA", at positions 524 to 776 of the family's 1533-position model. The record is from RNAcentral.
UACGAAGGGUGCAAGCGUUACUCGGAAUUACUGGGCGUAAAGCGUGCGUAGGUGGUUUGUUAAGUCUGAUGUGAAAGCCCUGGGCUCAACCUGGGAAUUGCAUUGGAUACUGGCAGGCUAGAGUGCGGUAGAGGAUGGCGGAAUUCCCGGUGUAGCAGUGAAAUGCGUAGAGAUCGGGAGGAACAUCUGUGGCGAAGGCGACUACCUGGCCUGUUUCUUGACGCUGAGGCGCGAAAGCUAGGGGAGCAAACGGG